RNAcentral lists this ribosomal RNA (491 nucleotides) under uncultured bacterium. RNAcentral describes it as "partial 16S ribosomal RNA". It matches the Rfam family "Bacterial small subunit ribosomal RNA", at positions 29 to 507 of the family's 1533-position model. The record is from RNAcentral.
GUGAACGCUGGCGGUAGGCCUAACACAUGCAAGUCGCACGGCAGCACAGUAAGAGCUUGCUCUUACGGGUGGCGAGUGGCGGACGGGUGAGGAAUACAUCGGAAUCUACUUUUUCGUGGGGGAUAACGUAGGGAAACUUACGCUAAUACCGCAUACGACCUACGGGUGAAAGCAGGGGAUCUUCGGACCUUGCGCGAUUGAAUGAGCCGAUGUCGGAUUAGCUAGUUGGCGGGGUAAAGGCCCACCAAGGCGACGAUCCGUAGCUGGUCUGAGAGGAUGAUCAGCCACACUGGAACUGAGACACGGUCCAGACUCCUACGGGAGGCAGCAGUGGGGAAUAUUGGACAAUGGGCGCAAGCCUGAUCCAGCCAUACCGCGUGGGUGAAGAAGGCCUUCGGGUUGUAAAGCCCUUUUGUUGGGAAAGAAAAGCAGCAGGUUAAUACCCCGCUGUUCUGACGGUACCCAAAGAAUAAGCACCGGCUAACUCCGUG